This 308-nucleotide long non-coding RNA is filed under the name Hordeum vulgare. RNAcentral describes it as "long non-coding RNA (HVUL_LNC004905)". Lineage: Eukaryota; Viridiplantae; Streptophyta; Magnoliopsida; Poales; Poaceae. The record is from RNAcentral.
UGUCUUUUCUGAAUAUUUCUUUUGAUGAUAGGCUUCCCGGCGUUUUUUCAGUUUGUCCUGCCUUUCUUCCUCGGUCAUCCGUUCAUUCUGCUCUUUAUUUUUUCUUUUUUUUGUUCCUUUGACUCCUGCCUUUCUUCAUUUGUCAUCCGUGCAUACCGAUCUCUAUCUCUCUUUCUUUUUUGUUCUUUGGCUGCAUCCAUUUGCUCCAAAUAAAUUUCCUGUAUGAGAGUUUGUAUAAUGUAAGAAUUUCAAAUUAAUGAUAUAAUAGAUUUAAUCUGUACAAGGCAGUAUCAUAUUUUUAACAUAGC